ACCUUCAAGGUUAGCAGGAGAAUUUCACUCACUCCAGUCUGCUGAGAUAGAGAUGUUGUUGUUGUUGUUGUUGUUGCUGUUGCUGUUGUUGUUGUUGUUGUUGUUGUUGACAGAGCCAGCCCCUGUCUCAAACAAAAAUAAAAUAACAAAAAUGAAGCUGACACUGGGCACACUGCCUGUGAGCACAAAAAGCAAAAAAAUGAAACCAUUCCCAAUACAUACAAAUGAAAAAAUACUUGAGGUGAUGGAUACACCAAAUACCCUGACUUGAUCAUUGCACACUCUACGAGCAUAACAAAAUGUUACAUGUACCCCAUAAAUACAUACAAAUAUUAUGUAUAAAUUUAAAAAUGUUUUAAAUGAAACCACAACUACCAUAAUUGCUCUAGUAGGUAUCAUGGAAGAUUGUAGUUAAUUAUCUCAAACCGGGAGGACAGAUACCCUUCUAAGCAUAAACCAAACCCAGAAACCAUAGAAGAAAGGACUGAUGAAUUUAACCAUAUAAAAAUAAAAGAAAUUCUAAAUGGCAAAACUUAUGAUAGCAAGAUUAAAAAAAAAGUCAAACAAAGGACAUGCUGAAUGAAACAAUUUACAAUUCAUAUGGCAAAAGGCUAAUUUCCCUAAUAUACAAAGAACUCCUACAAAUCAAUAAGAAAAAGACCAUCAUCCCAAUUUUAAAAUGAACAAAAGACAGAAAUAGCGAACAGUAAAAUAAAUACAUGGCCCUAAGCUCAUGAAAAUAUCCUUAACUUCACUCAUAGUAGGAAAAAUACAAAGUAAUACUAUAUUUAAAAACCAUUUUUCAGCUGGGUGUGGUGGCUUACAUAUGUAAUCCCAGCAUUUUGGGAGACUGAGGCAGGAGGAUCACUUGAAGCCAGGAGUUCGAGACCAGCCUGUGCAACAUAGUGAGACCCAACUUUCCAAAAAAAAAAAAAAAUUAGCUGGGUGUGGUGGCAUGUGCCUGUAGUCCCAGCUACUUGCAAGGGUGAAAUGGGAAGAUUGCUUGAGCUCGUGAGGUGGAGUUUAUAGUGAGCCAAGAUCACACCACUGCACUCCAGCCUGGGUGAUGGAGCGAGAUCCUAUCUCAAAAAAAAAAAAAAAACACCAUUUUUCAAUAUAACAAACUGAUGGCCAGAGUAUGAGGAAAUAGAUACUCUCUUAUAUUACUGGCGAAACCAUCAAAAGAGGGCAAUUUGGCAAAAUCCAUUAAAGUUAUUUAUAUUUGUACAAUUUGACCCAGCAAAAGAAAUGUAUCUUACAGAUAUACUAGCAAUAUAAAAAGGGUUAUUGAUAGCAGCAUUCUUUUUAAUGGCAAAGUAUUUUAAAUGACCUAAAUGUCAACCAGUAUGGAACUAGUUAAAUAAAGUAUGGUUUUUUCAGUGUAAUACAGUGGAGUUAUUUUUUAAAUGGGGGAGAUUCCACUUCCAAAUGGCAGUGUGAGGAGCUCCACAGAUCCACUUCCCAGUGAAACUCCCUAGUUGGUAAAAAUUACACACACACACACACACACACACACACACACACACACUUAAACUCUCUGGAAAUUGCCCUAAGGGCAUAGAGCAAAUGAAUAAAUAUUUAUGCAAGAAAACCUACUAAAUCACAGUAAGAAGAAGAGUCUGGGAUACCUGAGAAAUGACCCACACC
RNAcentral lists this long non-coding RNA (1647 nucleotides) under Macaca mulatta (Rhesus monkey). RNAcentral describes it as "lncRNA (ENSMMUG00000050155.1)". Lineage: Eukaryota; Metazoa; Chordata; Mammalia; Primates; Cercopithecidae. The record is from RNAcentral.